AUACGGAGGGUGCAAGCGUUAUCCGGAUUUAUUGGGUUUAAAGGGUGCGCAGGCGGAUAAUUAAGUCAGUGGUGAAAUCCUCCCGCUCAACGGGAGAACUGCCAUUGAUACUGAUAAUCUGGAAUACAGUUGAAGUGGGCGGAAUGUAGCAUGUAGCGGUGAAAUGCAUAGAGAUGCUACAGAACACCGAUCGCGAAGGCAGCUCACUAAGCCGAUAUUGACGCUCAGGCACGAAAGCGUGGGUAGCGAACAGGAUUAGAAACCCCAGUAGUCC
RNAcentral lists this ribosomal RNA (274 nucleotides) under uncultured bacterium. RNAcentral's name for it is "partial 16S ribosomal RNA". It matches the Rfam family "Bacterial small subunit ribosomal RNA", at positions 523 to 796 of the family's 1533-position model. The record is from RNAcentral.